This 469-nucleotide ribosomal RNA is filed under the name uncultured bacterium. RNAcentral describes it as "partial 16S ribosomal RNA". It matches the Rfam family "Bacterial small subunit ribosomal RNA", at positions 28 to 507 of the family's 1533-position model. The record is from RNAcentral.
GACGAACGCUGGCGGCGUGCUUAACACAUGCAAGUCGAACGGAAAGGCCCUGCUUGCAGGGUGCUCGAGUGGCGAACGGGUGAGUAACACGUGGGUGAUCUGCCCCUUACUUUGGGAUAAGCCUGGGAAACUGGGUCUAAUACUGGAUAGGACCAUGCUGUAGGUGGUGUGGUGGAAAGAUUAGUUUCGGUAAGGGAUGAGCUCGCGGCCUAUCAGCUUGUUGGUGGGGUAAUGGCCUACCAAGGCGUCGACGGGUAGCCGGCCUGAGAGGGUGGACGGCAACAUUGGGACUGAGAUACGGCGCAGACUCCUACGGGAGGCAGCAGUGGGGAAUAUUGCACAAUGGGCGCAAGCCUGAUGCAGCGACGCCGCGUGGGGGAUGACGGCCUUCGGGUUGUAAACUCCUUUCAGCCAUGACGAAGCCCUUGUGGUGACGGUAGUGGUAGAAGAAGCACCGGCUAACUACGUG